AGACCCGAAACCCGGUGAUCUAGCCAUGGGCAGGUUGAAGGUUGGGUAACACUAACUGGAGGACCGAACCGACUAAUGUUGAAAAAUUAGCGGAUGACCUGUGGCUGGGGGUGAAAGGCCAAUCAAACCGGGAGAUAGCUGGUUCUCCCCGAAAGCUAUUUAGGUAGCGCCUCGUGAAUUCAUCUCCGGGGGUAGAGCACUGUUUCGGCUAGGGGGCCAUCCCGGCUUACCAACCCGAUGCAAACUGCGAAUACCGGAGAAUGUUAUCACGGGAGACACACGGCGGGUGCUAACGUCCGUCGUGAAGAGGGAAACAACCCAGACCGCCAGCUAAGGUCCCAAAGUCAUGGUUAAGUGGGAAACGAUGUGGGAAGGCCCAGACAGCCAGGAUGUUGGCUUAGAAGCAGCCAUCAUUUAAAGAAAGCGUAAUAGCUCACUGGUCGAGUCGGCCUGCGCGGAAGAUGUAACGGGGCUAAACCAUGCACCGAAGCUGCGGCAGCGACACUCAGGUGUUGUUGGGUAGGGGAGCGUUCUGUAAGCCUGUGAAGGUGUGUCGUGAGGCAUGCUGGAGGUAUCAGAAGUGCGAAUGCUGACAUAAGUAACGAUAAAGCGGGUGAAAAGCCCGCUCGCCGGAAGACCAAGGGUUCCUGUCCAACGUUAAUCGGGGCAGGGUGAGUCGACCCCUAAGGCGAGGCCGAAAGGCGUAGUCGAUGGGAAACGGGUUAAUAUUCCCGUACUUGGUGUUACUGCGAAGGGGGGACGGAGAAGGCUAUGUUGGCCGGGCGACGGUUGUCCCGGUUUAAGCGUGUAGGUGUGUGUUCCAGGUAAAUCCGGUUCACUUUAACACUGAGGCGUGACGACGAGGCACUACGGUGCUGAAGCAACAAAUGCCCUGCUUCCAGGAAAAGCCUCUAAGCAUCAGGUAACACGAAAUCGUACCCCAAACCGACACAGGUGGUCAGGUAGAGAAUACCAAGGCGCUUGAGAGAACUCGGGUGAAGGAACUAGGCAAAAUGGUGCCGUAACUUCGGGAGAAGGCACGCUGACACGUAGGUGAAGUGAUUUACUCAUGGAGCUGAAGUCAGUCGAAGAUACCAGCUGGCUGCAACUGUUUAUUAAAAACACAGCACUGUGCAAACACGAAAGUGGACGUAUACGGUGUGACGCCUGCCCGGUGCCGGAAGGUUAAUUGAUGGGGUCAGCGCAAGCGAAGCUCCUGAUCGAAGCCCCGGUAAACGGCGGCCGUAACUAUAACGGUCCUAAGGUAGCGAAAUUCCUUGUCGGGUAAGUUCCGACCUGCACGAAUGGCGUAAUGAUGGCCAGGCUGUCUCCACCCGAGACUCAGUGAAAUUGAACUCGCUGUGAAGAUGCAGUGUACCCGCGGCAAGACGGAAAGACCCCGUGAACCUUUACUAUAGCUUGACACUGAACAUUGAGCCUUGAUGUGUAGGAUAGGUGGGAGGCUUUGAAGCGUGGACGCCAGUCUGCGUGGAGCCGACCUUGAAAUACCACCCUUUAAUGUUUGAUGUUCUAACGUGGACCCGUAAUCCGGGUUGCGGACAGUGUCUGGUGGGUAGUUUGACUGGGGCGGUCUCCUCCUAAAGAGUAACGGAGGAGCACGAAGGUUGGCUAAUCCUGGUCGGACAUCAGGAGGUUAGUGCAAUGGCAUAAGCCAGCUUGACUGCGAGCGUGACGGCGCGAGCAGGUGCGAAAGCAGGUCAUAGUGAUCCGGUGGUUCUGAAUGGAAGGGCCAUCGCUCAACGGAUAAAAGGUACUCCGGGGAUAACAGGCUGAUACCGCCCAAGAGUUCAUAUCGACGGCGGUGUUUGGCACCUCGAUGUCGGCUCAUCACAUCCUGGGGCUGAAGUAGGUCCCAAGGGUAUGGCUGUUCGCCAUUUAAAGUGGUACGCGAGCUGGGUUUAGAACGUCGUGAGACAGUUCGGUCCCUAUCUGCCGUGGGCGCUGGAGAACUGAGGGGGGCUGCUCCUAGUACGAGAGGACCGGAGUGGACGCAUCACUGGUGUUCGGGUUGUCAUGCCAAUGGCACUGCCCGGUAGCUAAAUGCGGAAGAGAUAAGUGCUGAAAGCAUCUAAGCACGAAACUUGCCCCGA
This 2111-nucleotide ribosomal RNA is filed under the name Salmonella enterica. RNAcentral describes it as "partial 23S ribosomal RNA". It matches the Rfam family "Bacterial large subunit ribosomal RNA", at positions 711 to 2802 of the family's 2925-position model. The record is from RNAcentral. Lineage: Bacteria; Pseudomonadati; Pseudomonadota; Gammaproteobacteria; Enterobacterales; Enterobacteriaceae.